UAAACCCUUCUCCUGUGUCCUUGAAAAC
This 28-nucleotide non-coding RNA is filed under the name Mus musculus (house mouse). The record is from RNAcentral. Lineage: Eukaryota; Metazoa; Chordata; Mammalia; Rodentia; Muridae.